CUACUGGGAAGUGGCCGAAAAAUUUCAAAUAAAAUGGGAUAAUGUACAAGUGGGAUUAAAAUAACGAUGGAAAAAGAAGGACUCAAACUUUGGUGAAUGAAUUUAGUGCGGGGUGCUAUACACUUAGGUAGAUAAAAUAUCUGUCUGUGAAAAAUCUGUGAAUUUCUCGAGAGCUUCUCAAGGUGCGUCCUUCUUGUCCAACAACACGUG
Molecule: long non-coding RNA, 210 nt
Filed under: Mytilus galloprovincialis (Mediterranean mussel)
Lineage: Eukaryota; Metazoa; Mollusca; Bivalvia; Mytilida; Mytilidae
Source: RNAcentral